UAGACAUGCCCAAAGCUCUUUGAUUUACCGAACAAAAUGUGAAAUGUCACCAGAGAAUGAAACCCCCAUAGUGAAACUGUGGAGAACUAUGCACAUUGCUUUCCAUUGACGUGAUCCAAGUAGUUCGCUGAAUCCUUCACUACACAUUCACGUACCGAACAGUAGUAUCCAGCCUGAAAAGAAGUGACAGAAAUAAUUAACCAAAAUGAACAUAUAAAAAAAAUCAAUACAACAAUCAUAUCUCCCUUUUAUGCAGCGACAAAACUAGUAUAAAUACAUUACCGUGUCCAACCAAAGAGCAUCAACAUAAAAAUUGGCAUAUUGAAGGCAGGCCUGUCUUCAAGAGCACACUAUCCUCUAUACAAAAUUAGUUAAAUCCUUGAAGUUACAUACAAUUGCUAAACUAACACAGCCACUUCUCUUCUCACUUUCAAUUCUUAAGACAACAUAUAUAUUAGCUUUCCUUUCCGCUUGUGCUCAUCACCACCAACUUCUAUUUCAUUUUCCAAUAAAUAGUAAAAAAAUGCAAAUUCUACAAAAAGGAUAGCAUAACACAAUUUUUUUAUAGAUAUGGAGCACAUAAACAUAAGCCAAGAAGAAACAACAAAAGAAAGAAGGGAGGAACAUCCUUCCGGUAAUCCAGUGACUCCGAGAAAGAUAAAUCUAGCCACCUACGAUGGUUAGUUUCCAACUACAUGCUCCCAGAAAUCAUAUAAGAAUAUUAUACUGUAAGCAGAACAAUUUAUGAAGGAUCAUAUAGGAACAUGGUAAGAAGAAGACCUGCUGGCUUAGAGGACUUAGAGUUGCUAUAGGUGUGACGACCUGAGUUUUUCCCAAUCGAGAUUCAGGGUCUACUUCAUAAUCUCUAUGCUUCAAGGACUUUCUUUGCACUGGUGGAGUUUAGCUGCACAAAAAUGAUAUUGUUAGCUUCUAAGUCAUAAUUCUGCAAACCAAUCACUCUCAAAUUAAAAAGAAUUGAAUUAUUUCAUUUCAAACAUAAAAUUUAUCCAAAAAAAAAAAGAAAUUAACUGAAUUGAAUUCUUACAAAAUUUUACAUUCCAAACAAGGGGUUAGUUUCAAGAAUUAAGUUAGUAACCGGAGUGAUUUAAUUUUUGGUUGAACAGAUGGUAUAUUAAGAAAAGACUCUUUAACUACAUUAACUGCAUCCUCUUAAUCCCUUGUUCUUUUGGAAUGGAGGGAGAUAACGAUCGACUUACAUUUGGAUUUGACCCGCUACUCAGCCUCCUAAAUAGAGAGAGCAAAUGAACACUAGCAACUAUAGAAGUCACUAAACCAAAAAUACAAAAGAAAAAAAAAAUAAAACAAAGUGAGAAUUGAAAAUUCUGAUACGAUCAAACCUGCUUUUCACGCUCACGAGCGUGUUCUAAAUACUUCUCUAUUGAAUUUUCUUCUAAAUUUGUUAUCAACACCAACAGUCUGCCCAAAACAGACAAUCACAUGAGCAAAGCUGCAAUCAAGAAGAAAAAUCAGGGGAAAAGACUGCCCGCAAUAUAUAUAUAUACAUAUAUUAAUGAAACAUUAGCGUUAAUAAAUUUGCAUUUACAUUGUUAUGAGCCAUCUAUCUGAAAUUUUUGACCAGAAAACGAAAACAGAGAACACGGAGAUAUAUUAAUAUGUGAAUGUAUCAAAGUAAAUUAUGAGUUCGGAGAGGGGAAUCUGUAAACCCUAACAUCUGAUUUGAGUCCAAUUUCAAAGAAGCUAAAACCUGUAAGACGAAAGGAAAAGAAUAACGCCCUGAAUAUAUUAGCUACGGUAUAUAAAAAAAUUAAGAGUGCAAUGGGCGUUUGGUCUAGUGGUAUGAUUCUCG
This 1828-nucleotide unclassified non-coding RNA is filed under the name Hevea brasiliensis (rubber tree). The record is from RNAcentral. Lineage: Eukaryota; Viridiplantae; Streptophyta; Magnoliopsida; Malpighiales; Euphorbiaceae.